AUUCAGUUGACGAGUUCAAAAUAGAACGAAAUGAGCUUCCUGGAU
This 45-nucleotide non-coding RNA is filed under the name Schistosoma haematobium. Lineage: Eukaryota; Metazoa; Platyhelminthes; Trematoda; Strigeidida; Schistosomatidae. The record is from RNAcentral.